RNAcentral lists this unclassified non-coding RNA (255 nucleotides) under uncultured fungus. RNAcentral's name for it is "partial contains 18S rRNA, ITS1, 5.8S rRNA". Lineage: Eukaryota; Fungi. The record is from RNAcentral.
GGUUAACGAUCAUUAAUGAAGAUUUGUGCGGGUCCUCUCUACGCCCAACAGUGUCCCUGGCCGCCUACACCCACUAUACAUCCACAAAUCCUUGUGGACUGACAUGGAGAAAGGCUUCAAAGAACUUUCUUGUGGCCUCUCUUGGGGUCUUUCUUCGCUACUGCUCUGACGGUUGAUAGGAACGUGGAACUUGGUUGGACCGUCACUGGUGACGCUUAUACACAAGUUUCGACAACGGAUCUCUUGGUUCUCCCA